GCAUUGGUGGUUAAGUGGUAGAAUUCUUGCCUUCCAUGCAAGAGACUCAGGUUUAAUUCCUUGCCAACGUG
RNAcentral lists this transfer RNA (71 nucleotides) under Loxodonta africana (African savanna elephant). It matches the Rfam family "tRNA". From Rfam's summary of the family: Transfer RNA (tRNA) molecules are approximately 80 nucleotides in length. Their secondary structure includes four short double-helical elements and three loops (D, anti-codon, and T loops). Lineage: Eukaryota; Metazoa; Chordata; Mammalia; Proboscidea; Elephantidae. The record is from Rfam by way of RNAcentral.